AUGCCAUACCAUUAUGAGAAGAGCUGUAGAGAAUCACCUAUUCACCUUUCCAUCCCUCCCUAUUUCAGAGCAGCAGUUUCACCCCAUCCACCAAGUGAGAGGAUGGAGAGGAUGGUGAGGAUGGUGGAGCAUCAAGCUUACAAAACAUGUACUGAAAGGGAUUAGAGAUACUGUUCAGUACCAACCUGCCAGAAAGUCCAAAUCAAGAUUUUGCAGUUCAAACACCGGCACAAAUGACCGUAAAGAGCUAAGAAUUUGCAGGAAAAUAAAGUGAUCUCAGAUUCCUGAUGGCAGACUGAAAGUCCAGUAGAAACUACAAAGAGUGGGCAGAGUUUGAAAUGACGUAAUUCUUUCAGUUUCUUAAGGUGAGUCAUUAAAAAUAUU
This is a long non-coding RNA of Meleagris gallopavo (turkey), 384 nucleotides long. Lineage: Eukaryota; Metazoa; Chordata; Aves; Galliformes; Phasianidae. The record is from Ensembl.